Paramuricea clavata is the source of this 781-nucleotide non-coding RNA. NCBI's taxonomy places the organism in Eukaryota, Metazoa, Cnidaria, Anthozoa, Malacalcyonacea, Plexauridae. The record is from the annotation of a GenBank genome assembly.
UGGUAUAUUAGAAGAUAAAUUUCUAUACACUUUUUUGACCUAACCAGGAGCAUUUUCGAAAAAUGAAACUUCAGGCCCUGUAAGGUUUUUUAUUUAUACAACAACUCCCACCCACUAUGUUACGAAAAUCACAAUUUUGAAUUUUGCGUGAAGAAAAUUUUUAACAUUCAAACAUCACACUAUAGCGGCUAGCCUGGUUUGUUGCAAAAUAUAAUACAACGAUAACUCCGUUGUAUUGUAGCCUAUUUUAUGAAAAUACUCGAUGGUUCCCGCAAUUUUGGUGCAAAGGAACCUUACUUUUCAUGAUUACAAUAUGUGAGAUAAUUCGAAAACUCCUCAUUACACUUGCCUGUAGGCCAAGUGUCUUAAAUCCCUCUUUUUUUUUUUUUUUUUCGUGGAGAAAUGGAGUUUGCAUUAGCUCAUCGCAGGCUCAGGGUGCAACGUGUUCCAGUGACAUAUUCAGUUCAGUUUCAAAAUGGCGGCUUUUCACUGAGCGAUCUAAUAUAUGUUUCACACAGUUUCGUUGAAUUUUCAAAGAAUUGUGCCGGUUUCCUAUGGAUUUUACGUUGUGUCGCACUCUGGCCUUUCUUGCGUGUUGAAUUAGUGUGUUUUUCUUUGUGUAACGACUCGAAAACCCCAAAAUUUGGAUCCAGCGAAUUUAUACAAUAUAGUGGAAUAUAAACAAGGACAAGUUAAAGGUUUGACAGUUUGACUUUUUAAUUAACAAGUAUAAAUAUACGUUGUAGGCUCAUAAACACAUGCGUUGUGCUCUUAAUAAUAU